Molecule: ribosomal RNA, 404 nt
Filed under: uncultured bacterium
Lineage: Bacteria
Description: bacterial SSU rRNA
Rfam family: Bacterial small subunit ribosomal RNA
Source: RNAcentral
UGGGGAAUAUUGCACAAUGGGGGAAACCCUGAUGCAGCGACGCCGCGUGGGUGAAGAAGUAAUUCGUUAUGUAAAGCUCUAUCAGCAGGGAAGAAAAUGACGGUACCUGAGUAAGAAGCCCCGGCUAACUACGUGCCAGCAGCCGCGGUAAUACGUAGGGGGCAAGCGUUAUCCGGAUUUACUGGGUGUAAAGGGAGCGUAGACGGCGAUGCAAGUCUGAAGUGAAGGGCGGGGGCCCAACCCCCGGACUGCUUUGGAAACUGUAUAGCUGGAGUGCAGGAGAGGUAAGUGGAAUUCCUAGUGUAGCGGUGAAAUGCGUAGAUAUUAGGAGGAACACCAGUGGCGAAGGCGGCUUACUGGACUGUAACUGACGUUGAGGCUCGAAAGCGUGGGGAGCAAACAGG